RNA transcript from Apis cerana (Asiatic honeybee), 2386 nucleotides. RefSeq lists it as uncharacterized. NCBI's taxonomy places the organism in Eukaryota, Metazoa, Arthropoda, Insecta, Hymenoptera, Apidae. The record is from RefSeq and is a predicted model, not a curated record.
GUUUUUCGAGUUUUUUUUUUUUGAUUCGUUUACCAUACUGAUCCGAUUGUAUUUUCGCGUGAGCACUGUCAAUAUUAAAUUGUAAUAUACGUUAGAUAAAUUAUGGUAUAAUAUAAAUAUAUAUAUAUAUUUUUCAUCAAAAAGUGUUUAUUAUAUCAAAAAAAUGGCAUUGCAACGUUCAACCGUUGCAUUUCAAACUAUCCGUAAUUUAAGAAAAAUUAACGGAGAAAUAAAAUUACAUCUUCGAUCAAGAACUACAACAGCUUCAGGUGCCAUCCUACCGGAACCAAAAAGAACACGUUUUGGCUUUUUCUUUGUUAUUUGCUGUGUUUCGACAGGAUUAGUUAUAGGAACUACAUUAAGUAAAAUGGUAGCUAAUUUUCUCGAAGAGAAAGAAUUGUUCGUACCUUCGGAUGACGAUGACGACGAUGAUUAAUUUAUUGUCGAUAUACGUGUUCUAUUUAAGGCAAAAAAUUUAAAUUAGUCUUAUUAAAUUAUUCGACUUACGCUUUUUAUAUAUAUCAAAUGUUAACUUUUAAACUUUUUAUCGAUAGUAAAAUGUCUUAUCGUACAUCAUUCUUCAAGCUUCAUUCGCAAGCAUAGUUAAUUUUUUUUAUUUCCAAGAAUAGAUAUCAUUUUUUGUUUUAAUGAAAUGAAUUUAUAAUAUUAACAAAGCAGGAUCUCGCCGUUCGCUGGAUUUUUGGAAAUUUUCGCUUAAAUUGUUCGUACCUUCGGCAAAAAUCACGAUAGACGAAAACUUAAUAAAAUCGAAUAGGGGAUAAUUACCUAGAUGUAUAAACAUAGAACAUGACGCGGGAAAUUAAUUUAAUUAAGAGUUUAAAUAUAUAAUUUGUAGAGAACGUUCGAAGCCGAAUCCCUUGAAUCGAUAUUAAAUUGUACAAGGAAACGAUAAAAAUGGAAAUCAUUUAACGCGAAUAAACGAAUUCGCGAUGUCGCAGAUUAAACGAGAUUUUAUUUUUAUUACUGUAUAUUAUAAAAAAAAGAUAUAUAAUUUAUAAGUAAUAUAACUUAAGAAUUUUUUUACAAGUAUACGAAUAUCACAUGUAUAAGAGUUUUUAAUUCUUUUUGGAAUUUUACUUAUAGUUAGAAGAAAAAUAUGGAAAUCAAAUUGCGUAUUUUAAUUUAUUUGACAUAAUUUUUAAAAAGCGAAUGAAUUUUGCACAUAAAUGUACAUUUAUAAAUAUAUUCUAUUAAAUUGCAUAUAGAUAUCUAUAUACAAACAUACAAAUAAAUAUCUUGUAAAUAAUAUUUUAACUGAUUUCGAAAUAAACUCGAUCGAAGGAAAUAAACAAACACGAAGAGAAUAUCUGUAUAUUAACAAUACCUUUUAAACAAAACUCUAGAUGUUUAACCGUUUGAAAAAUUACAAUUAGAAAAUUAUUUACAUAAUAAAUUUAUAUGGACAAUUGCUUCGUUUAAAAUUUGCCUUAAUCGAGAAAUCUUAUCAAAACGAUAAAAAUUAAGACACUCUAUUCUAUCAAAAAAUUAUUUCAUUGAAGCGGUCUUUUAUGCGAACUCCAACCAUGAAAGCACUUGGUGAAUCUUCGAGAUUCCUUUCCUUUAGCAGUUAGAUAUAAUUUACGUGGUUUAUCCGGUUGUUUUACUCGUAAGUGUUGGAUGUAUACCUAAAAAUUGAAUACGCUCAUUUCUUACUUUUACUCUCACUUAUAUCGUACUAUUUUGUUCGAUAAUUUUUACAAAUUAUUUAAUAUUUUUAUCGUUCAUUCUUUACCUGAGCAGAUUUGUAUGCUAAUUUAAUUUCUACUUCCGAACAUCGACUGCCCAACCAUAAAAAUACUUGUUCACCAUUAUCAAGAAUCAUAAUAUCAUCAUCCGCCAAGUCAUCCUGGAAUUAGUAUUAACGAAAUAUAAAUAUGCACAUUAAUUUAAAAAUAUAUAAUAAUACGGCGAUACAAGCGAAAAUAAAAUAAAUUUAUAGUUUAUAAAAAUAUAUACUUGACAAAAGUCGGUGCAUUUUUCGCUAAUAGUAAAAUAUCCUUUUUCGUUCGAACAUCUAAAGAGUCUGGUAUAAUUCAUGUAUUCCGCAUCAUUAUCGUACGGUUUCUUUCCACCAAGUGCUACCCAAAAAAAAUUAUCCGGUUCUUCACCUUCAUUCAAAACUUGUAAACUUAUCCAUGGCUGUUGACCAUUCAAAAAAAAAUAAAUUAUAUAAAAUUUUAUAAAAUCUUGACAGAAUACAAAUACGACAAAUAUAACGUAUAUAACAACAAACGUACGUUAUUAAACAUUUCUUCGGCGAUUUCUUGAAUCAAACGUGCUUCUUCGCUAUCAGCUUUGGAACCAAUCCAAGCGUAUACUAUUCCUGUCUCGUCAUCAUUGUUAAAUGGUACAUUUAAGAUGUAAC